RNAcentral lists this long non-coding RNA (1872 nucleotides) under Arabidopsis lyrata. RNAcentral's name for it is "long non-coding RNA (ALYR_LNC002370)". The record is from RNAcentral. Lineage: Eukaryota; Viridiplantae; Streptophyta; Magnoliopsida; Brassicales; Brassicaceae.
UUGGACUUUCACUGUUAGAGCUUUUGAUUCUUCUCGUCCUGAACGUACCAUUAGUGUGAGCUACGAUGGUUUCGCUGAAGGUAUAUGUAAUUCUGUUUAUGUAAAAGUGGAAGUGGAGAACUUUAGAUGAAUAGGAAUCAAUUGGUUUUGUUUGUGAUGUAGAUGUAAGAGUUGGGGAUGAACUUCUAGUUGAUGGUGGAAUGGUGAGAUUUGAAGUGAUUGAGAAGAUUGGUCCUGAUGUUAAGUGUCUAUGUACCGAUCCUGGAUUGUUGCUUCCUCGAGCUAACUUGACGUUUUGGAGAGAUGGAAGUCUUGUACGAGAGCGUAAUGCCAUGCUUCCAACUAUUUCUUCCAAGGUUUGUAAUUUUUUAUCUUCCUAAGGUUUGGGUUAUGAUUCACUUUAUUUGGUAAAUUUAGGAGGGAUCAAAGCAAUGUGAGGAUGUACAUUUUUGGAACCUAGAUGAGUCCAUGUUAGCAAAACAGAGGAUAAAUAAAGUAAAGUAACUACGAAAGAUACAAGUAGCUAUAUCACAAUAGCAGUUCGUUCUCUAAGUAACUAGAGUCCAUGUGAAUCUAUGAGUGUUGAUUUUAAAUGCGAAGUCUUUAUUUUAUCUCCUAAUUAAUGCUGAAGGAGGAAUGAUGUUCUUACUCAGAAAUUAGAACAUAUAGAAUAUCUCCCUGAGGGAAUCAGGGAGAACAUACUCAUUUUCACUGAUGAUACCUUAAUUCUUUAUUUUCAGGAUUGGUUGGAUAUUGAUUUUGGAAUUGCUGAAGGUGUGGAUUUCAUUGCUGUAUCGUUUGUCAAGUCGGCUGAAGUUAUUAAUCACCUUAAAAGUUAUCUUGCUGCUCGUUCCCGUGGAGGGUAAGUAAACAUGCUCAAUAUCAACACAUUUUACUACUGUAUAAGAAAGAUAUGAUCUACUUUGGGGGUCAGGCUAUAAUAGGAUUUGGUUUUGCGUUAUGUUAACACCAUCUUUAUUUUGAUGUUGUAUUCAUUUAUGAUGCAGGGAAAUUGGAGUAAUUGCAAAGAUCGAGAGUAUCGAUUCAUUGACCAAUUUGGAAGAAAUUAUUCUAGCGUCAGAUGGAGCCAUGGUCGCAAGAGGAGAUCUGGGAGCUCAGAUACCUCUUGAGCAAGUUCCAGCAGCUCAACAGAGAAUCGUGCAAGUCUGCAGAGGGCUGAACAAACCUGUCAUCGUUGCUUCACAGCUACUUGAGUCCAUGAUUGAGUACCCAACUCCAACCAGAGCAGAAGUUGCCGAUGUGUCUGAAGCAGUAAGACAAAGAUCAGAUGCAUUGAUGCUCUCUGGAGAAUCAGCUAUGGGUCAAUUCCCAGACAAGGCGCUCACGGUUCUAAGGACUGUCAGUUUAAGAAUCGAGAGAUGGUGGAGGGAAGAGAAACGCCACGAGUCUGUGCCGCUUCAAGCCAUAGGCUCUACCUUUUCAGACAAAAUCUCAGAAGAGAUUUGUAACUCUGCUGCUAAAAUGGGUAAAUAAUUCAGGUUCAUUGUUUAUCUCAAAAGAAUCUGUCUUGAGUAUCUCAUUUUAUCAUCCAAAAACUUGCAGCUAACAAUCUUGGAGUGGACGCGGUUUUCGUCUACACAACAAGCGGACACAUGGCGUCAUUGGUCUCCCGAUGUCGCCCAGACUGCCCGAUCUUUGCUUUCACAACCACAACCUCGGUGAGAAGACGCUUAAACCUACAAUGGGGGCUUAUCCCAUUCCGUCUCAGCUUCUCAGACGACAUGGAAAGCAACUUGAACAAAACAUUCUCGUUACUGAAAUCAAGAGGCAUGAUAAAAUCUGGUGACCUCGUGAUCGCAGUCUCGGACAUGUUGCAAUCAAUCCAGGUAAUGAACGUCCCGUAAUUUCUCC